CCUACGGGCGGCUGCAGUGGGGAAUAUUGGACAAUGGGCGAAAGCCUGAUCCAGCCAUGCCGCGUGUGUGAAGAAGGCCUUCGGGUUGUAAAGCACUUUCAGUGGGGAAGAAAGCCUUGGGGCUAAUGCCCUCGAGGAAGGACAUCACCCACAGAAGAAGCACCGGCUAACUCCGUGCCAGCAGCCGCGGUAAUACGGAGGGUGCGAGCGUUAAUCGGAAUUACUGGGCGUAAAGCGCGCGUAGGCGGUCUGAUAAGCCGGUUGUGAAAGCCCCGGGCUCAACCUGGGAACGGCAUCCGGAACUGUCAGGCUAGAGUGCAGGAGAGGAAGGUAGAAUUCCCGGUGUAGCGGUGAAAUGCGUAGAGAUCGGGAGGAAUACCAGUGGCGAAGGCGGCCUUCUGGACUGACACUGACGCUGAGGUGCGAAAGCGUGGGUAGCAAACAGGAUUAGAUACCCUUGUAGUC
This 465-nucleotide ribosomal RNA is filed under the name Vreelandella stevensii. RNAcentral describes it as "partial 16S ribosomal RNA". It matches the Rfam family "Bacterial small subunit ribosomal RNA", at positions 338 to 795 of the family's 1533-position model. The record is from RNAcentral. Lineage: Bacteria; Pseudomonadati; Pseudomonadota; Gammaproteobacteria; Oceanospirillales; Halomonadaceae.